RNAcentral lists this ribosomal RNA (253 nucleotides) under uncultured bacterium. RNAcentral describes it as "partial 16S ribosomal RNA". It matches the Rfam family "Bacterial small subunit ribosomal RNA", at positions 524 to 776 of the family's 1533-position model. The record is from RNAcentral.
UACGUAGGGGGCGAGCGUUGUCCGGAAUCAUUGGGCGUAAAGCGCGUGUAGGCGGCUCGGUAAGUCCGGUGUGAAACCUUGGGGCUCAACCCCAAGCCUGCACUGGAUACUGUCGAGCUUGAGUCCGGGAGGGGAGAGCGGAAUUCCUAGUGUAGCGGUGAAAUGCGCAGAUAUCAGGAGGAACACCGGUGGCGAAGGCGGUUCUCUGGGCAUUACCUGACGCUGAGGAGCGAAAGUGUGGGGAGCGAACAGG